GCCUGUGUAGCUCAAUUGGCAGAGCACAUCCGUGGUAUGGAUGCCGUCCAGGUUCGACUCCUGGCGCAGGCU
Molecule: transfer RNA, 72 nt
Organism: Halorientalis sp. IM1011
Lineage: Archaea; Methanobacteriati; Methanobacteriota; Halobacteria; Halobacteriales; Haloarculaceae
Rfam family: tRNA
About the family: Transfer RNA (tRNA) molecules are approximately 80 nucleotides in length.
Source: Rfam